AGGUGGGACCGUGUCUUUGUGGACUUGUCCGGGUCACAGCGCAGCCAGCUUCUCGCAUCCAUCGAACGCCUUCUUCCCUCGUCCCAGACACUCCCUCCAAAUUCGCAGCGCAGCGCCUCUCUGCACUGUGUUCCAUGCAUCGCUUCAUCUGCUGGCCACGGAGUUUGCGCGCCGGUUCGUAUGCGUCCGCAGCACUGCGCAACGCGAUCGCGUACUCUGGCCGCGCUAGUGAUCCUAGCGAGCCUGUCCAACACCCCAGAGACGGUGAUGCCGGUGCGGAGGACGUGAUCACCCCAUGGGUGGUGACCGCCAAGGGUCCACAGGGUAUCAACUACGAUCGUGUGCUGACCACAUUUAAAGCGGAGCGUAUGGACGACGGUGCGCGUCAGCACAUGCACGAUGUCAUGGCCAAGCGCCGCAAGCGGGCCAUGGCCACCACCCCAUCCGCUAACGCUGAGGGCGUCGCGACCCCGGAUUUGACUGUGGUGCCAUCUGGAGAUGCGACACCGCAGGCCGCCGCGUCCCCUGACAUGCAGCAGCGGCAGCAGCCACCAGCACUGGCGCUUCACCACUUCUUCAACCGCGACAUUGCCUUCUCGCACCGCGAUUUGCACAAGGCGCUUGUGGAUAUCGAGGCUUCCAUCAAAACGGGAGAGUGCUCUGUCUUCCUCUACACUGGCCGUGGCCCUAGCACUGGCGCCAUGCACUUGGGCCAUGUGCUGCCCUUCAUGCUCACCAAGUACCUCCAAGACGUCUUCAACCUUCCGCUCGUUAUACAAAUCACAG
RNAcentral lists this unclassified non-coding RNA (786 nucleotides) under Leishmania donovani. RNAcentral describes it as "gene:unknown". Lineage: Eukaryota; Euglenozoa; Kinetoplastea; Trypanosomatida; Trypanosomatidae. The record is from RNAcentral.